This 253-nucleotide ribosomal RNA is filed under the name uncultured bacterium. RNAcentral describes it as "partial 16S ribosomal RNA". It matches the Rfam family "Bacterial small subunit ribosomal RNA", at positions 524 to 776 of the family's 1533-position model. The record is from RNAcentral.
UACAGAGGGGGCAAGCGUUAUUCGGAAUUAUUGGGCGUAAAGGGCGCGUAGGCGGCCAUUCAAGUGACGGGUGAAAGCCCUCGGCUUAACCGAGGAACUGCCUGUCAGACUGGAUGGCUUGAGACCGGGAGAGGUGAGUGGAAUUCCCAGUGUAGCGGUGAAAUGCGUAGAUAUUGGGAGGAACACCAGUGGCGAAGGCGGCUCACUGGACCGGUACUGACGCUGAGGCACGAAAGCGUGGGGAGCAAACAGG